AAGAUGUUCCAUCUCUUGCACACUGAGUCAUAUUCCUCACUACAACUGGAAAUGACUUGGUGUGCAAGGUAUGGCAUAUCUU
Molecule: microRNA precursor, 82 nt
Filed under: Picea abies (Norway spruce)
Lineage: Eukaryota; Viridiplantae; Streptophyta; Pinopsida; Pinales; Pinaceae
Description: miR2950a stem-loop (pab-MIR2950a)
Source: miRBase by way of RNAcentral